AAUUUAGUCAACAAGCCUUUCUUAAACACCCAUUAUGUGCCAAGCACUGGGCUAAAAAUUGGGGAUACAAAGAAAGUAAAAAAACAAGUUCCUCUUUUCAAUGAGUUCACAGUCCAAUAGGAGAGACAAUAUGCCAACUUCUAUGUAAAAACAAGGAGCAGCUCUCACUUUGCAAAGGUUCUGUAUGUUCCAAUGGAUCCCCUUAUAUCUGGGCAUCAAUUUCAAAGAAAAAUAAAGUCCUGGGAGUUUACUCCAUUGAAAACAUAUUUUCUGGACUCAUUCAGUAAGAGCAGUGUGAUGAGGAAAUUGAGUCUUCAAGAAAUUAAAUGAAUUACCAGGAGUACAUACCUAAUAAUUGUACUACAUGAGGAUAUUUGACCUGGAAAAUAAGAGAUUUGGAAGGUGAGGAGUAUGAUUUCUACAUGACAACUUCUCAAGACUUAAAGAUAGCAGAUGUGGAAGAUUUGUUCAAUAGAGCCCUAAAGAAAAGUAUGUUGUAUAAACUGCUGAAGAAUUGUCUUGCUAAUUAAGGCUUCCCUCUUUGCUAUAAGACUAUAAAUAAAAACAUUUUAUCCUCAAAAAAAAUUGUGUAG
Molecule: long non-coding RNA, 593 nt
Filed under: Monodelphis domestica (gray short-tailed opossum)
Lineage: Eukaryota; Metazoa; Chordata; Mammalia; Didelphimorphia; Didelphidae
Description: lncRNA (ENSMODG00000034379.2)
Source: RNAcentral